Molecule: long non-coding RNA, 302 nt
Filed under: Homo sapiens (human)
Lineage: Eukaryota; Metazoa; Chordata; Mammalia; Primates; Hominidae
Description: HSALNT0346666
Source: RNAcentral
UUGCAAAGGGGAAUCCAGGCACAAUCUUCAGCUGUUGUGCAUCCAAAAACGAUUAUGGAAAUGAUGCUGAAAAUGCAUCUAUGAGCAUCAAUUUACUGUGUCCUGCCUGGCUUCAGGGCCUCAGAUGCAUCCUGAAGAGCAUCCAGGGAAGUCUUAGAGCCAUGGGCUUCUCUGCUAAGAACUGGUGAUGUCACGCAGGCUGGAAGCUGACAAUUUAAGUCAAUUCACUCUCCAAAAUGUUGCACCCCUGCUGCGUGUUAAGCUCAUUAAAGUUGGAGAGUUGAAUGAGCUAAUGUUCAUGA